UACGUAGGGAGCAAGCGUUGUCCGGAAUCAUUGGGCGUAAAGCGCGCGUAGGUGGCCCCAUAAGUCCGCUGUGAAAGUCAAAGGCUCAACCUUUGAAAGCCGGUGGAUACUGUGGGACUAGAGUACGGAAGAGGCGAGUGGAAUUCCUGGUGUAGCGGUGGAAUGCGCAGAUAUCAGGAGGAACACCGGUGGCGAAGGCGGUUCUCUGGGCAUGUCCUGACGCUGAGGAGCGAAAAGUGUGGGGAGCGAACAGG
This 254-nucleotide ribosomal RNA is filed under the name uncultured bacterium. RNAcentral describes it as "partial 16S ribosomal RNA". It matches the Rfam family "Bacterial small subunit ribosomal RNA", at positions 524 to 776 of the family's 1533-position model. The record is from RNAcentral.